This 3451-nucleotide long non-coding RNA is filed under the name Chlamydomonas reinhardtii. Its description in RNAcentral is "long non-coding RNA (CREI_LNC001010)". Lineage: Eukaryota; Viridiplantae; Chlorophyta; Chlorophyceae; Chlamydomonadales; Chlamydomonadaceae. The record is from RNAcentral.
GCGGCGGCAUGUGCGCGGCGGCGGAGUUCGAGUCGUUCGGCGUGCGGCCGGUGGACCUGUGGGGGCUGUCGGUGGAGGCGCUGCUGCCCGAGGUGACGGUGCCGGUGCCUGAGGUCCUGCGCAGCCGCAGCGAGUGGUGCACCACCUACCUGGAUGAGGACAUGCGGGUGGGGCGCGGCAGCGGCGGCGCGCUGUUCCUGUUCCGGCGCGGCGGCGCGGACGACGUCACCGAGGCGGCGGGCGCCAUGGGCGGCAGCCUGGGUGCGGGCUCCGGCAUGGGCAUGGGCUUGGGCGUGGGCUUGGGCGCGGUGGCUGCGGAUGCCCGCGCGCCGGUGAUGCGGCCGCUGUGAGGCGCGUGGGAGGAGGGGCGGGUGGCAGGAGGGAAGUGGAGCCUGGCGGCCGGCGCCGCGGGUGUGUAGCGGUGUGCCCGUGUGUGUGCGGGUGCGUGUACGUGUACGUGUACGUGUACGUGUACGUGUACGUGUACGUGUACGUGUACGUGUGUGUGUGUGUGUGUGUGUGUGUGUGUGUGUGUGUACAUGUGUGUGUGUGUGUACAUGUGUGUGUACAUGUGUGUGUACAUGUGUGUGUACAUGUGUGUGUACAUGUGUGUGUACAUGUGUGUGUACAUGUGUGUGUACAUGUGUGUACCUGUGUGUACAUGUGUGUACAUGUGUGUGUGUGUGUUGAGGUGGGCAUGGUGUGGCUGUGUGGGCGAGGAGGAGCACAGCGCUUCCAUCCGGCACUUGUGAGACAUGUCACAAUUUAUCAUCAUUUUAUCGCGGCAGGCAGUCCUAUGCAUGAGCAAUUCAUGGCGGUGCGCAUGGCGUGGAAUGGAGUGAAUUGAUGUUGUCAGGGGGCUGGUUGCAAUGGCCGAUACCGGUACCUGUGGUCCUGUGCGUCUCUGCGUGUCCUGUACAGUGUAUUCCCCCAAAUGGAUAGGGAGGGCAUGGUUGCAGGCCUGGCCAGAUCAGGUGUCUGGGUUUUAUCCCUCGCCUGCGUGUGCGUGCUUGUAUCUAACUGUACCACUUCAAUUAGGUCAAGGUUACCUGGCCCCUGUAGAGACGUGGAGGCUCAGACAAUAAGACAAUUGGUCUUAGCUCAAUGCAAACAGUGCAAAGAUUGAUUACAUUUGCUGAGUCUGCUUGUGGACAGAGAGAUGUGCGGUGUGAGGACUGUCGGCAGGAGCAUUGAUAGUAUGACAGUGGAGCGUGAAGAGGGAGAGGGACGGAGGGAGGCUGCGUGGUGCUGGCAGAGGGACGGAGGACGAGGUGGGCACCAUGCGGCCUUUGCAAUGCAUUCAAAGCUUCGCCCAAAGCCUUAACUUAUCAGGAUACCGUAUUGCUUGAAGCAGGAGUGCCGUCGCUGGUCACGCAACUUAAGAGAACUGCAGGGAAACAAGCAUCGAACCGGGGGUCGUGAUGGAGGCAUAGAUUUUGCUCUUGCGGCUCCUCGGGCGCCUGGUACACAGGGACACUUUAUCAGUGCACGAUAGCUAUAAGACGAAACAAUAUGGUGGUUUGCCUCGGUGCAGAGAACAGCAGUGCUGACAACUGAGCGCUCCCAAUUGUUGCCUUCUCUCCUACUGGAACUAUGACCGAGCCAAGCACCAGUGGCAAGCGCCAUAGAGAGGAUGAAGGUGUUGGAAACCUCGGCUGGCUGGCGAGCAGCGGUAUGCUGCCUCGCAAGCGGCAAGACAUUUCGGGAGUCGGCAAUGCGAGCAUUAUGGAGCUACAAGCACAACUUUAUCGCACGCAAGAAAAUGUGAAAUUGAAAGCAAGUGGCGUCGAGGUCCCCGACCGGCGAACUUCGGGGUUCAACGUCGCAUCGCUUAUGCAGCGACGAAACACGGGCGUGGAAGAGCGCGAUCGACGGGACAAGCUUGAAGUCAAGGUGAGGCGGGGUCUGGGAGUCCGCAAAUGCGACGUAGGGGCGGUGCUACGCUUGACGCGGACACUGGCCUCAGCAGUUCUGGACGACGCCCCGCGCGGUUUCCCCUCCACGCCCCUCCCGCACAGACCACCGCUGACCGCGUCGGGGAGUGUUACGCCGCGCUAGAGCGCAAGGCGCAACUAUACGAGAAACUAGGUAGGCGCUGCGACUGCUGCAGCCGUGCGCCGUGAACAAUGCCACACGGCACCACUGCCAUCCCUACCCCGCCAUUCCACCACGGCCACGUUGCACACCCCUCGCCGUCGAUGUAUGCGGACUCGCACAGGCUGUCCAGCUCGCCAUCUUCCACACGGCUACCAUAUGCCUGUACAAACUCCCUCGACCCUUUGCCAGCCCUAUCUACCCAUUGAUCGCUGUGCUUCUGCUCGACCGCUGUUCCGCUGCUGUUGCUGCUGCUGCUGCUACUGCUGCUGCUGCCGCAGCUCGCGGCGAGUUGGACGACGAGGGCGAGCAGUACGAGGUGGACUUCCUGCGCAAGGGCGGGGCGGCGGAGGAGGAGGCGGGUGGAGGCGAGGGCCGGCGCGGCGGCGACCUGGUGGACACCAUGCUGCAGGCAGUGUCGGGGACAGGUGAGGCGGGGGCGGAUGGGGGCAAGGAGUCCACGGGCCUUGUAGUCGGACUGCCCGAGCCGCCACCCUGACGGAGAGGGUCAACAAGUGUGUGCUGCGGCUGACCUGUCGGCAGAGCGUGUUGCUGCUGUUCGGCGCUCGGCCCGCGGGAUCUCACCACCCUCAGCCCCCGCCGCUGCUCGGCUGCAACCAUUGAGGCAGGACAGCAAGGGUUUAGGCAGGGUAGUAUGGACUGAGGCAGGGUAAUGCGGACUGGGCAAGGCAACCACCCGACACAUAGCGUGUCCCGGUCUAUUGUAUUCUUCUCUUGUGCGGAGACCGCACGUCUGAACCGCUCCUACUCCGCGCUGCACUUGCGCUCCUGACCACCUCCUGGCCACCUGUCGGCAUGCGGCCCCGCACACAGGCGGCAUGAUGACUGCGGACAUGGCGCGGGAACGGGAGCGGCGCGACUGGGAGCGGGACCAGCAGCGCAUCAUGGCGGACGAGGAGGCGGAGGAGCGGAGGCGGAAGCAGAAAGAGGUGCGUCCAACACAAGCGGAGGUCGGGGACCAAUGGCACCAUUGUUGUAUGCUGUUUAACCCGGGUUACCCUAUGCCGGCGAUGCUGCCUGUGAGCAGUUGAUAAGCAGUGCCUAACCUGCGGUGGCACGUCGUCGCAUGCGGUUUGCACAGGCGCUGCUUUGGCUUGUGGGGGCUGUCGGUGGAGGCGCUGCUGCCCGAGGUGACGGUGCCGGUGCCUGAGGUCCUGCGCAGCCGCAGCGAGUGGUGCACCACCUACCUGGAUGAGGACAUGCGGGUGGGGCGCGGCAGCGGCGGCGCGCUGUUCCUGUUCCGGCGCGGCGGCGCGGACGACGUCACCGAGGCGGCGGGCGCCAUGGGCGGCAGCCUGGGUGCGGGCUCCGGCAUGGGCAUGGGCUUGGGCGUGGG